GACGAACGCUGGCGGCGUGCUUAACACAUGCAAGUCGAACGAAGAGCGACGGAAGCUUGCUUCUAUCAAUCUUAGUGGCGAACGGGUGAGUAACGCGUAAUCAACCUGCCCUUCAGAGGGGGACAACAGUUGGAAACGACUGCUAAUACCGCAUACGAUCUAACCUCGGCAUCGAGGAUAGAUGAAAGGUGGCCUCUACAUGUAAGCUAUCACUGAAGGAGGGGAUUGCGUCUGAUUAGCUAGUUGGAGGGGUAACGGCCCACCAAGGCGAUGAUCAGUAGCCGGUCUGAGAGGAUGAACGGCCACAUUGGGACUGAGACACGGCCCAGACUCCUACGGGAGGCAGCAGUGGGGAAUCUUCCGCAAUGGACGAAAGUCUGACGGAGCAACGCCGCGUGAGUGAUGACGGCCUUCGGGUUGUAAAGCUCUGUUAAUCGGGACGAAAGGCCUUCUUGCGAAUAGGGAGAAGGAUUGACGGUACCGGAAUAGAAAGCCACGGCUAACUACGUG
Molecule: ribosomal RNA, 510 nt
Filed under: uncultured bacterium
Lineage: Bacteria
Description: partial 16S ribosomal RNA
Rfam family: Bacterial small subunit ribosomal RNA
Source: RNAcentral